Molecule: ribosomal RNA, 517 nt
Filed under: Salmonella enterica subsp. enterica serovar Kentucky
Lineage: Bacteria; Pseudomonadati; Pseudomonadota; Gammaproteobacteria; Enterobacterales; Enterobacteriaceae
Description: partial 23S ribosomal RNA
Rfam family: Bacterial large subunit ribosomal RNA
Source: RNAcentral
GACACACGGCGGGUGCUAACGUCCGUCGUGAAGAGGGAAACAACCCAGACCGCCAGCUAAGGUCCCAAAGUCAUGGUUAAGUGGGAAACGAUGUGGGAAGGCCCAGACAGCCAGGAUGUUGGCUUAGAAGCAGCCAUCAUUUAAAGAAAGCGUAAUAGCUCACUGGUCGAGUCGGCCUGCGCGGAAGAUGUAACGGGGCUAAACCAUGCACCGAAGCUGCGGCAGCGACGCUGAUGCGUUGUUGGGUAGGGGAGCGUUCUGUAAGCCUGUGAAGGUGGCCUGUGAGGGUUGCUGGAGGUAUCAGAAGUGCGAAUGCUGACAUAAGUAACGAUAAAGCGGGUGAAAAGCCCGCUCGCCGGAAGACCAAGGGUUCCUGUCCAACGUUAAUCGGGGCAGGGUGAGUCGACCCCUAAGGCGAGGCCGAAAGGCGUAGUCGAUGGGAAACGGGUUAAUAUUCCCGUACUUGGUGUUACUGCGAAGGGGGGACGGAGAAGGCUAUGUUGGCCGGGCGACGGUU